Molecule: small nucleolar RNA, 123 nt
Filed under: Meriones unguiculatus (Mongolian gerbil)
Lineage: Eukaryota; Metazoa; Chordata; Mammalia; Rodentia; Muridae
Description: Small nucleolar RNA SNORA48 (ENSMUGG00000015532.1)
Rfam family: Small nucleolar RNA SNORA48
About the family: The snoRNA ACA 48 has been identified to guide pseudouridylation of the residue U3797 in the 28S rRNA subunit. Its host gene EIF4A1 (eukaryotic translation initiation factor 4A1) is shared with U67 and snoRNA mgU6-77
Source: RNAcentral
UCCCUUUGGCAAUGGACAAAGAGACACCUUGUUGGUGGUGGUGUUCUUAUUUCAGUCAGGGGCACAGCAGAUGGCAGCUCUUUGUUCAUCCUAGCUUUGCUAUUUUAUGCCUAGAACUCAUAA